Molecule: transfer RNA, 71 nt
Filed under: Stegodyphus mimosarum
Lineage: Eukaryota; Metazoa; Arthropoda; Arachnida; Araneae; Eresidae
Rfam family: tRNA
About the family: Transfer RNA (tRNA) molecules are approximately 80 nucleotides in length.
Source: Rfam by way of RNAcentral
GCCUUUGUGGUGUAAUUGGAAGCAUAUCUGGCUGACAAUCGGGAGGUCAGGAGUUCAAAUCUCUGCUAGCA